AGAGUUUGAUCAUGGCUCAGGAUGAACGCUGGCGGCGUGCCUAAUACAUGCAAGUCGGACGAGGUGCUUUUGUAGCAAUACGAGAGUAUCCUAGUGGCGAACGGGUGAGUAACGCGUUGGUGACCUACCCCAAAGUGUGGGAUAACAGUCCGAAAGGAUUGCUAAUACCGCAUGUGGUUAUCGGGUUUAGAAACUGAUAACUAAAGGAGCAAUUCGCUUUGGGAGGGACCUGCGUCCCAUCAGCUAGUUGGUGAGGUAAUGGCUCACCAAGGCGACGACGGGUAGGGGACCUGAGAGGGUGACCCCCCACAAUGGAACUGAAACACGGUCCAUACACCUACGGGUGGCAGCAGUAGGGAAUAUUGCACAAUGGGCGAAAGCCUGAUGCAGCAACGCCGCGUGCACGAUGAAGGCCUUCGGGUCGUAAAGUGCUUUUCAGGGAGAUGAGAAAGGACAGUAUCCCAGGAAUAAGUCUCGGCUAACUACGUGCCAGCAGCCGCGGUAAAACGUAGGAGGCGAGCGUUAUCCGGAUUCACUGGGCGUAAAGCGCGUGCAGGUGGCUUGGUAAGUUAGGCGUGAAAUCUCCCGGCUCAACUGGGAGAGGUCGUCUAAUACUACCGGGCUAGAGAGCAGAAGAGGAAGAUGGAAUUCCCGGUGUAGUGGUGAAAUGCGUAGAUAUCGGGAGGAACACCAGUGGCGAAGGCGAUCUUCUGGUCUGUUUCUGACACUCAGACGCGACAGCUAGGGUAGUAAACGGGAUUAGAGACCCCGGUAAUCCUAGCCGUAAACGAUGUGAACUUGGCGUUGGUGAGUUAAACUCCAUCAGUGCCGCAGCAAACGCGAUAAGUUCACCGCCUGGGGACUACGGCCGCAAGGUUAAAACUCAAAGGAAUUGACGG
This 899-nucleotide ribosomal RNA is filed under the name uncultured bacterium. RNAcentral's name for it is "bacterial SSU rRNA". It matches the Rfam family "Bacterial small subunit ribosomal RNA", at positions 8 to 916 of the family's 1533-position model. The record is from RNAcentral.